UGUGUAUGUCUAAAGUCUCACCACCAUUUUCUAAAUGGUGCAAAACUAACACGUGACUCCCCUUGCUCAAGACCUGACAGAUGACUUUUUUCUUUUCUUUUCUUUUUUUCUUUUUAAAUUUAUGGGCAGUGAAAAUUGUAAUGAUGGAGAAAUUCUAAGUAUCGCAUGAUAGCUUAUUCUGAAAUGAAAAUGAGAUAGUGCCCAUAUCUGAUGAUCAGGAUUCCUCUGUUGGGAUGGUUGUGAUCAUGCAGCCAUCAGAGGGGACCCUUGAAAAACAAGAUGAACCAACAUGUCUUUACGCAUGAAAAAGCUACUAGCUGCAGGGGACCCUUGAAUAUGCAUUUUUUUGGUUGGAUGUCCCUCUCGAAGCUUUGGCAAGGCGGAUUGCUGCUGUAGGGACUGAUUCUCGUCCUCUUUUGCGCCAAGAAUCUGGCGAUGCUUACACAAAGGUGUCUAUAUAUAUCCUUCCAUUCUAAAUAUGUUUGUUUUGUUGCACUGGUUAGGUAUAACAGAUCUGAAUUUCACUGAGUUUUGAAGAGACCAAAUGUCCAGAUCAUGUCCUAGCAGAUGCUGCUCAUGCUAUUUGCUAGUGGCUGGUUAGUGAAUGGUAGAUCCGAAUUGAUGAAUUAUACACUAAAUGGCAAGAGUAUGUUUUGCCACAAAGCAUUAAUAUAUGACCUAGUUAUUGCAUUGACCACCCUUUCUCUAAACUUCUGUGCAGGCUUUUGCGCGUCUCACCAUGCUAUUUGGCGAAAGGGGGAGAAGCCUAUGCCAAUGCUGAUGCCACAGUCUCCCUUCAAUGUAUGUUUUCUAACUUGUGGACUGAUUGCGAUGUUCUUCUCUUGUUUUCUCAAGUUAUGGUCAUAAGAUUGACAGUUGAUUGAACCCAAAUGUAAAUGCAAGGAUGAUGUUUGUAGAUUCAAGAUGUGCUUGGAAGCUCCUGCGUUUAGUGGCAGAUGGGAAUUGCUGGACGUGCUCUGCCAAAAUCCCAACUGAGAUAACAACUUCCUGUUCCUAUCCCAACUGAGAUUGGAUCCCACUUAAAUAUGAUUUCCAUUUUAUGCUCUACUGCUGAAGGUUGUUCCAAAUGUUCCCUAACCAAUCCCAUUAAGGUUCCACUAAAGUCACAGAACCAAUCCCAUUAAGGUUCUUCCAAAUGUUCCCUAACCAAUCAUUUUAAACAUUAAACAAGGCAAUGGUACUUAUGCACAUGGUGCAAUGGUCUUUUAAUUACCACCCAUUCUUCUCUCUUGAAUCGCCCAUGUUUCCAUAUGUCAAUUUAUACUCUAAUUAUCAGCUUCCCACCUGGAGAUUAAAUUCGAAACUAUACUUUGUCAAGGACUGGGGGCUUCCCAACCCAAAAUCCAAGAACCCAUGGCUUAGAGAUGAGCUAAUUCUCAAGCAUAACAGCAUCUACUACGCCUCCAUUGCUUUGAAUUUCGUCCUAAGACUCGCAUGGGUCGAGACUGUGAUGCACCUCAAUGUUGGGAGGGUUGAGUACCGGCUGCUUGAUUUCUUUUUGGCUUCAUUGG
Long non-coding RNA from Magnolia sinica, 1532 nucleotides. RefSeq lists it as uncharacterized. Lineage: Eukaryota; Viridiplantae; Streptophyta; Magnoliopsida; Magnoliales; Magnoliaceae. The record is from RefSeq and is a predicted model, not a curated record. The transcript is spliced from 3 exons.